RNAcentral lists this transfer RNA (91 nucleotides) under Providencia phage vB_PreS_PR1. It matches the Rfam family "tRNA". Rfam says of the family: Transfer RNA (tRNA) molecules are approximately 80 nucleotides in length. Their secondary structure includes four short double-helical elements and three loops (D, anti-codon, and T loops). The record is from Rfam by way of RNAcentral. Lineage: Duplodnaviria; Heunggongvirae; Uroviricota; Caudoviricetes; Demerecviridae.
GGAAGAGUAACCCUAAUGGUAAGGGAACUGUUUGCUAAACAGUUAGUAGCUGUCGAAAGACGGUGUGCGGGUUCGAGCCCCGCUUCUUCCU